UACAGGGGGUGCAAACGUUGCUCGGAAUUAUUGGGCGUAAAGGGUGCGUAGGUGGUGAGGUAAGUCGGAUGUGAAAGCUCGGAGCUCAACUCCGAAAUGGCAUUGGAAACUACCUUGCUCGAGGGUUGGAGGGGGGACUGGAAUGCUUGGUGUAGCAGUGAAAUGCGUAGAUAUCAAGCGGAACACCAGUGGCGAAGGCGAGUCCCUGGACAACUCCUGACACUGAGGCACGAAAGCUAGGGGAGCAAACAGG
RNAcentral lists this ribosomal RNA (253 nucleotides) under uncultured bacterium. Its description in RNAcentral is "partial 16S ribosomal RNA". It matches the Rfam family "Bacterial small subunit ribosomal RNA", at positions 524 to 776 of the family's 1533-position model. The record is from RNAcentral.